This 252-nucleotide ribosomal RNA is filed under the name uncultured bacterium. Its description in RNAcentral is "partial 16S ribosomal RNA". It matches the Rfam family "Bacterial small subunit ribosomal RNA", at positions 524 to 776 of the family's 1533-position model. The record is from RNAcentral.
UACGUAGGGGGCAAGCGUUGUCCGGAAUGACUGGGCGUAAAGGGUACGUAGGCGGUCAUGUAAGUCAGGUGUGAAAUUCUAGGGCUCAACCCUAGAUAGCACUUGAAACUGCGUGACUUGAGUCAAGGAGAGGAAAGUGGAAUUCCUGGUGUAGCGGUGAAAUGCGUAGAUAUCAGGAGGAAUACCAGUGGCGAAGGCGACUUUCUGGCCUUAGACUGACGCUGAGGUACGAAAGCGUGGGGAGCAAACAGG